GAAUAUUGGACAAUGGGCGCAAGCCUGAUCCAGCCAUGCCGCGUGCGGGAAGAAGGCCUUCGGGUUGUAAACCGCUUUUGUCGGGGAAGAAAUCUUUCGGGCUAAUACCUCGGAAGGAUGACGGUACCUGAAGAAUAAGUACCGGCUAACUACGUGCCAGCAGCCGCGGUAAUACGUAGGGUGCAAGCGUUAAUCGGAAUUACUGGGCGUAAAGCGUGCGCAGGCGGUACUGCAAGACAGGUGUGAAAUCCCCGGGCUCAACCUGGGAACUGCACUUGUGACUGCAGGGCUGGAGUGCGGCAGAGGGGGAUGGAAUUCCGCGUGUAGCAGUGAAAUGCGUAGAUAUGCGGAGGAACACCGAUGGCGAAGGCAAUCCCCUGGGCCUGCACUGACGCUCAUGCACGAAAGCGUGGGGAGCAAACAGG
This 425-nucleotide ribosomal RNA is filed under the name uncultured bacterium. Its description in RNAcentral is "bacterial SSU rRNA". It matches the Rfam family "Bacterial small subunit ribosomal RNA", at positions 359 to 776 of the family's 1533-position model. The record is from RNAcentral.